RNAcentral lists this long non-coding RNA (562 nucleotides) under Setaria italica (foxtail millet). RNAcentral's name for it is "long non-coding RNA (SITA_LNC000379)". Lineage: Eukaryota; Viridiplantae; Streptophyta; Magnoliopsida; Poales; Poaceae. The record is from RNAcentral.
GCAAAAACGGGCUCACUUGGGUGGGGAAUACUCGGGUUUUAAUGACCCGUCUCGUAUGUCUCCGGAUGAUAUUUCUGAUGAUGAUGUUGAGGCACUGCUAGCCAAGUUCUUCAGGAACUAUCAAGGAGUACCAGUUAUUCCUUCAACGCUUUGUCAGUUUGAUGCUUGGUAUCAGCCAGAAGUGGUAUGGCCUUUCACUUUGACUUGUACUUUUUGAACUGUUUGGGAUACUGUUUGAGUGUCGACUUGUUUUUGUAGUUCCGAGUUCUUGCCGGCUACUUGGCACAGUCGGAAGAAGAAGAAUCUGUUGUUGAAGAGUCAGAGGACGAGCCCUCUCCUCCUGUGAAGAAACGCCGGGUAGUCCGCAAGAUGUCUGCUACUAAGUCUGCCUCGACUUCUCCUCCUGAGAAGGCUCAGGGUGCCAAGGUAUGUAGCCGUGUACUCACUUGUAGCUGAUGGAUUUUAACUUGUAAUCUUUUAAUCACUUUAUCUGUCUCAAAAGGCUGACGAUGCGGCGCUCGGUGACGAUGAGGCUGCUUCGGAUGAAGUAGUCGUGACCACC